GGAAGGAUCAUUAACACGUAUCCACGUAUCAACCAACUGUGAACUUGUUUUCAAUUCUCCCUGAUGUUUCACGACAUCAGGCAAACACCCAAUCAUAAACCUAUAUCACAACCUUUUUUGCUAGUUGACUUUUAUAUGUUGUUUGUCUUUCGUACUUCAUUGUACUGAAGCCUCACACACGUUGAUUUAUUUGAACGUUAAAAUUACAACUCUUAGCAAUGGAUAUCUUGGUUCUCGCAACGAUGAAGAACGCAGCGAAAUGCGAUACGUAAUGCGAAUUGCAGAAUUCAGUGAAUCAUCAAAUCUUUGAACGCAAAUUGCGCUCUUGGGUAGCCCUAGGAGCACGCCUCUCUCAGUAUCGGUUCAACAACCUCUCAGCAGCGUACUGAAUUUAUUCGGUAUGUGUUAGCUGGAUAAUGAGAGUCUGACUUUCACGAGUCAGUCUCUUUAAAUACAUCGAGUGAGCCUUCAUAUUCUUUAACGCGUGUGUCUUCGGAUGCACAAGCUGGUCUUCGACUGGUUGUUUGAGAGUGACGUGAAUACUGACCCUUGUGGUCUCUCAUUUACGUGUAACUUUUCGACAGCUACUAAGGUUGAUUACUAGUGUUUCAGAAAUAGAACGGUCUCAUGUUAAGCGGGUAAAACUGCAAUCGGCUAUAGUAAUAUGGUCUGAAUUUUGAUCUGAGAUGAAGCGAGACAACCCCCUGAAUUUAAGCAUAUUAAUAAGGGGAGGAAAAGAAACUAACAAGGAUUCCCUUAGUAACGGCGAGUGAAGCGGGAAGAGCUCAAUUUGAAAAUCGACUACCUAAGCGGGUCGUCGAGUUGUAGCCUAGAGACGUACUAUCAGCUGAGACCUGGGUAUAAGUUCUUUGGAAUGAGGCAUCAUAGAGGGUGAGAAUCCCGUAUAUGACCCAAAGCUUUCAGCGUACGAUGUAUGUUCAUCGAGUCGAGUUGUUUGGGAUUGCAGCUCUAAAUGGGUGGUAAGUUUCAUCUAAAGCUAAAUAAUGGCGAGAGACCGAUAGCGAACAAGUACCGUGAGGGAAAGAUGAAAAGAACUUUGAAAAGAGAGUUAAAAGUACUUGAAAUUGCUAAGAGGGAAGCGCUGGCAACCAGUGUUUACUCGUCGUUCAUCGCUAUCAGCCCCACUGGAUUGUGUGUUGUAGUUGGAAACUCUACUCGCGCAGUCGAAAGGGUGGUUGGUGGUUUAGGGCGGCGAGUUAGUCAAGAUUCAUUCGAUGCUGUGGGAGAAGGUAGUGAGAAAGGUAGGAGACUUCGGUCUCUGUUAAGUCUCAUUACUCUACCUCGGCUUGGAUGGAGGAAGUAAUAGUGCGCUGCUUGCGGCUUAGUCCCAUGCUCCUGCAAUCCCAAUCGGCUUGAUAGCAAUGCUAUCCUGUUGAGGAAGUGGUUGUACUGGGUAUGGUGACUCUAUGUGCUAUCACGAUCUUGUACGAAAUGGUUGUCAUCGACCCGUCUUGAAACACGGACCAAGGAGUCUAACAUCUAUGCGAGUAUUUGAGUGAAAAACUCUGAUGCGCAAUGAAAGUAAAGGCAGCUUCGGCUGCUGAGGUAGGAAUCCGGUCAAACGGAGGCACUAUCGACCGAUCAUCACUUGUGAAAGAUUUGAGUAAGAGCAUAUCUGUUGGGACCCGAAAGAUGGUGAUCUAUGCCUGAACAGGGUGAAGCCAGGGGAAACUCUGGUGGAGGCUCGUAGCGAUACUGACGUGCAAAUCGUUCGUCUGAUUUGGGUAUAGGGGCGAAAGACUAAUCGAACCAUCUAGUAGCUGGUUCCCUC
Molecule: unclassified non-coding RNA, 1792 nt
Filed under: uncultured fungus
Lineage: Eukaryota; Fungi
Description: sequence contains 18S rRNA gene, ITS1, 5.8S rRNA gene, ITS2, 28S rRNA gene
Rfam family: Eukaryotic large subunit ribosomal RNA (bases 678-1792)
Source: RNAcentral